AAGUCGUAACAAGGUAACCGUAGGUGAACCUGCGGUUGGAUCAUUACUAAAUGAAUGGUGUUUCAGGAAUCCUUCAAGCCUAGCUUGUUAAGGACUGAAUCAUCACUAACCCUUUGUGCAAUUAUAUAGUAUUUUGGGUAAUCCCUUUAGGGUUUGCCCAGCCUUUAUAAAAACCCCUUUAAACUUAUCUUAUAAUUUUUAAAUAUAAAAAUUAACAACUUUUGACAACGGAUCUCUUGGCUCUC
This 245-nucleotide unclassified non-coding RNA is filed under the name fungal sp. RNAcentral's name for it is "partial internal transcribed spacer region". The stretch from base 1 to 46 matches the Rfam family "Eukaryotic small subunit ribosomal RNA", at positions 1786 to 1831 of the family's 1831-position model. Lineage: Eukaryota; Fungi. The record is from RNAcentral.